AUGAAAGAGUGGAUGAAAUAUAAAUUGUCUCAAGAUGAUAAAUUGAAUUUAAAUUAAAAGUAAAAAUGCUUUUAUAUGAUUAUUAGACGAGAAGACCCUAUAGAAUUUAAUAAAAUUUAUUUUUUAAGUAUAUUAUGUUAUAGUUAUUUAUUAAGUAAUUAUAUUUUAUUGGGAGGAUAUUUAAAUUUAAUUAACUUUAAUUUAAUUAAACAUAGAUUAAUGAAUUUAUUGAUUAUUAU
RNAcentral lists this ribosomal RNA (239 nucleotides) under Vespula shidai. Its description in RNAcentral is "partial 16S rRNA". The record is from RNAcentral. Lineage: Eukaryota; Metazoa; Arthropoda; Insecta; Hymenoptera; Vespidae.